Molecule: long non-coding RNA, 476 nt
Filed under: Androctonus crassicauda
Lineage: Eukaryota; Metazoa; Arthropoda; Arachnida; Scorpiones; Buthidae
Source: RNAcentral
CAGGUUUUAAAAUUUACAAUAUUUAUUGUGUAAUGUUUUCAAACUAUUUUCAGGUUUCUUCAAUACAUAAUGAUUAUAGAAUGUUUUUGAACAUAGCAAAUGGAAUACAUUUUAAAAUGUUUGAAUACAUUAAAACAAAAUUAAGUAAAGUAUAAUAUUAACUGACAAGGAGAUGCCACGAAUCUCUGGAUCGUUUUCCGAAUGAGUCAUGGCUUGUUCGGUGGCUGGUGUAUGGAUGGUGGAGGCCCUGAGGGGGUUUGAGUGAAUGGGCCUUUGUUUGCGAGAAAUUUGGGUGCAGGGUUGGGUUUGUUCAGCGAUACAGAAUAUAUACGUUAAAUGUAACAUUUUUCCACGUCUGUCGGCGUGGCGGAGUUGGUUAGGGAGCUUGUUUCGCGGAUAUGAUGAGAUCGCGGGUUCGCGUCUCGUUAUUCCAUGUUUUUUUUUUUUUUUGAAUAUUUUGUUUUGGUCGUUUUGGG